GACGAACGCUGGCGGCGUGCCUAAUACAUGCAAGUUGAGCGAUGAAGCUUGGUGCUUGCACCAAUUUGAAGAGCAGCGAACGGGUGAGUAACGCGUGGGGCAUCUGCCUUUGAGCGGGGGACAACAUUUGGAAACGAAUGCUAAUACCGCAUAACACCUUUAAACAUAAGUUUUAAGUUUGAAAGAUGCAAUUGCAUCACUCAAAGAUGAUCCCGCGUUGUAUUAGCUAGUUGGUGAGGUAAAGGCUCACCAAGGCGAGGAUACAUAGCCGACCUGAGAGGGUGAGCGGCCACAUUGGGACUGAGACACGGCCCAAACUCCUACGGGAGGCAGCAGGAGGGAAUCUUCGGCCAUCGACGAAAGUCUGACCGAGCGACGCCGCAGGAGUGAAGAAGGUUAUCGGACCGUAAAACUCUGUUGGUAGAGAAGAACGUUGGUGAGAGUGGAAAGCUCAUCAAGUGACGGUAACUACUCAGAAAGGGACGGCUAACUACGUG
RNAcentral lists this ribosomal RNA (497 nucleotides) under uncultured bacterium. RNAcentral's name for it is "partial 16S ribosomal RNA". It matches the Rfam family "Bacterial small subunit ribosomal RNA", at positions 28 to 507 of the family's 1533-position model. The record is from RNAcentral.